RNAcentral lists this non-coding RNA (29 nucleotides) under Homo sapiens (human). Lineage: Eukaryota; Metazoa; Chordata; Mammalia; Primates; Hominidae. The record is from RNAcentral.
UGUUACAGUUAUCCCCAGGUAUGGUUGCA